UGGAGAACUGAGGGGGGCUGCUCCUAGUACGAGAGGACCGGAGUGGACGCAUCACUGGUGUUCGGGUUGUCAUGCCAAUGGCACUGCCCGGUAGCUAAAUGCGGAAGAGAUAAGUGCUGAAAGCAUCUAAGCACGAAACUUGCCCCGAGAUGAGUUCUCCCUGAGACUUAGAGUCUCCUGAAGGAACGUUGAAGACGACGACGUUGAUAGGCCGGGUGUGUAAGCGCAGCGAUGCGUUGAGCUAACCGGUACUAAUGAACCGUGAGGCUUAACCUUACAACGCCGAAG
Molecule: ribosomal RNA, 288 nt
Filed under: Escherichia coli
Lineage: Bacteria; Pseudomonadati; Pseudomonadota; Gammaproteobacteria; Enterobacterales; Enterobacteriaceae
Also listed under: 1 other name
Description: partial 23S ribosomal RNA
Rfam family: Bacterial large subunit ribosomal RNA
Source: RNAcentral